This 365-nucleotide ribosomal RNA is filed under the name uncultured bacterium. RNAcentral's name for it is "partial 16S ribosomal RNA". It matches the Rfam family "Bacterial small subunit ribosomal RNA", at positions 338 to 700 of the family's 1533-position model. The record is from RNAcentral.
CCUACGGGUGGCAGCAGUGAGGAAUAUUGGUCAAUGGACGAGAGUCUGAACCAGCCAAGUAGCGUGAAGGAUGACUGCCCGAGGGGGUGUAAACUUCUUGUAUAGGGGAAUAAAAUGUACCACGUGUGGGAUUUUGUAUGUACCAUAUGAAUAAGGAUCGGCUAACUCCGUGCCAGCAGCCGCGGUAAUACGGAGGAUCCGAGCGUUAUCCGGAUUUAUUGGGUUUAAAGGGAGCGUAGGUGGAUUGUUAAGUCAGUUGUGAAAGUUUGCGGCUCAACCGUAAAAUUGCAGUUGAAACUGGCAGUCUUUCGUCCAGUAGAGGUGGGCGGCAUUCGUGGUGUAGCGGUGAACUGCUUAGCUCUCAC